GGGAGGUGUAUCUUCACAAAUACAGCAGAAAAAGAAGCCUUCACAUCCAAUGUGGUAUUUCACAUGCCGUCCGGUCUGUUGUUAGCAGUGUCUAAUCAAGCAUACCCCUUUGCUCGGAUAUGCUUCACCGCCUUUGUAGAAGUUGCAGUACUUUGGACAUCUUGUGGAAUAUCUGUU
Long non-coding RNA from Haliotis rubra (blacklip abalone), 177 nucleotides. RefSeq lists it as uncharacterized. Lineage: Eukaryota; Metazoa; Mollusca; Gastropoda; Lepetellida; Haliotidae. The transcript is spliced from 3 exons. The record is from RefSeq and is a predicted model, not a curated record.